Molecule: ribosomal RNA, 887 nt
Filed under: Calonectria hawksworthii
Lineage: Eukaryota; Fungi; Ascomycota; Sordariomycetes; Hypocreales; Nectriaceae
Description: partial large subunit ribosomal RNA
Rfam family: Eukaryotic large subunit ribosomal RNA
Source: RNAcentral
AUCAAUAAGCGGAGGAAAAGAAACCAACAGGGAUUGCCCUAGUAACGGCGAGUGAAGCGGCAACAGCUCAAAUUUGAAAUCUGGCCCUCGGGUCCGAGUUGUAAUUUGUAGAGGAUGCUUUUGGUGAGGUACCUUCCGAGUUCCCUGGAACGGGACGCCAUAGAGGGUGAGAGCCCCGUCUGGUUGGAUACCAAACCUCUGUAAAGCUCCUUCGACGAGUCGAGUAGUUUGGGAAUGCUGCUCUAAAUGGGAGGUAUAUGUCUUCUAAAGCUAAAUACCGGCCAGAGACCGAUAGCGCACAAGUAGAGUGAUCGAAAGAUGAAAAGCACUUUGAAAAGAGAGUUAAAAAGUACGUGAAAUUGUUGAAAGGGAAGCGCUUAUGACCAGACUUGGACUUGGUUGAUCAUCCUGGGUUCUCCCUGGUGCACUCUUCCAGUUCAGGCCAGCAUCAGUUCGCUGCGGGGGAUAAAAGUUUUGGGAAUGUGGCUCCCUCGGGAGUGUUAUAGCCCAUUUCAUAAUACCCUGCUCCGGACUGAGGUUCGCGCAUCUGCAAGGAUGCUGGCGUAAUGGUCAUCAGCGACCCGUCUUGAAACACGGACCAAGGAGUCGUCUUCGUAUGCGAGUGUUCGGGUGUUAAACCCCUACGCGUAAUGAAAGUGAACGCAGGUGAGAGCUUCGGCGCAUCAUCGACCGAUCCUGAUGUUCUCGGAUGGAUUUGAGUAAGAGCAUACGGGGCCGGACCCGAAAGAAGGUGAACUAUGCCUGUAUAGGGUGAAGCCAGAGGAAACUCUGGUGGAGGCUCGCAGCGGUUCUGACGUGCAAAUCGAUCGUCAAAUAUGGGCAUGGGGGCGAAAGACUAAUCGAACCUUCUAGUAGCUGGGUUUCCG